This 87-nucleotide ribosomal RNA is filed under the name Clostridioides difficile. Lineage: Bacteria; Bacillati; Bacillota; Clostridia; Peptostreptococcales; Peptostreptococcaceae. The record is from RNAcentral.
UUCCCAUUCCGAACACAGAAGUUAAGCUCUCUAGCGCUGAUGGUACUUGGUGGGAAACUGCCUGGGAGAGUAGGACGUAGCCACGUU